UUGUACAUUGCUGGGGUGUGGCUGGGAGAACUGUAUGUAAUGUAACUCAGAAAAAACUGAGGACUGAAACUAGCCCAGAAGUACUGAGUGUCCACAGUUGCCCACAGCACUGUUUGAGAACCAGGGUGCCCAGAUUCCCAGUCCUUUCCACAAGCUUGUGCUGAUUCUGGAUGCAAGAAGCAAAGAGCCAUUUCCUUCCACCUCUGAAGAGCAGAAACCCUUUCUACAGGGGUCUGAGAGGGUACCUGGAAUCUCUUUAAUUCCUGAAACAGACCUCAAACAAGGAAACUGGAGCUCAGAAUCAGGCCCAAGGUCACGAAGAUCCUGAACAUCACAACUGCAACAUGAAUCCAGUGUGUUUUUGACUCCAAACCCAACUGUGCUGUGUUGCCUCACAGCCUUAUCGCUAAACGGAGCCAUCUCUAAGAAGGGUGCAGUAAACCAGAGCAAGUCCAAAUGAAAACCCAGGUUGCAAAGAAUCUAUCAAGUAGGAUCCAAAGUGUGUGUGUAUGUGUGUGUGUGUGUGUGUGUGUACACAUGCACACAUACCCAUUUACACACAUGCAAGCAGAACACAUCUAAAUACCAAGUGCUGAUUUUAAAAUUUUCUUCUUUAUAAAUUUCUAUUUUUCCAAAACAUUAAAA
Long non-coding RNA from Suricata suricatta (meerkat), 645 nucleotides. RefSeq lists it as uncharacterized. The transcript has 3 exons. The record is from RefSeq and is a predicted model, not a curated record. NCBI's taxonomy places the organism in Eukaryota, Metazoa, Chordata, Mammalia, Carnivora, Herpestidae.